CGAAUUUCAAUAAUUUCCUUCCCCUUUUUUUCUCAGUGCUCUUAUUCCUUUCACUCAACAGAUUCCUCCUGAUGUUAUGGAGAUGAAAAGCGUGGGAGUUCAGACUGAUUAUCUGGAGAGUGCGAGACAGACAGACCCCUUCACUCCAGACUGUGCGGUUCGUCCUGGGACCCCACAACCCCAGCCCCCACAGAAGGAGAGAUGAUCGAGAGGGCAAGAAUGAAGAGAGUUUGGGAGGCAACUCUGGCCCCGCUGAAAGACCUCUCUCAGCUGGACAAGAGGAGAAGGAUGAUGGAGGAGAUGGAGAGGAAGGAGAAAGAGAACAUUUCGGAAGCUGCUGGCAGAACGGAGGAAUGUGGAGGGAAAAUUGAAGAGAUGUGAUAUUAUAAAAGAUUACUCAGAUUAGGGGUUUCAGACAUACGUGCCUCUGUCUCGGUUUGGCCCGAUCUCUGUCCGAAAUUCCAACCACAACAUGGUCAAGAGUCACUUUCUCAGCACGUAUGAAGGUCUGUUAGAACUGGAGGCAAGUCUUUCUCCAUCUGUCAAGGAGACUUGAAUCAAAGUGUCAAGACCUAGUGACUAAAGGCUUCAUCGCACACUCA
Molecule: long non-coding RNA, 602 nt
Organism: Carassius auratus (goldfish)
Lineage: Eukaryota; Metazoa; Chordata; Actinopteri; Cypriniformes; Cyprinidae
Exons: 4
Source: RefSeq, a predicted model, not a curated record